This 631-nucleotide ribosomal RNA is filed under the name uncultured Actinomycetes bacterium. Its description in RNAcentral is "bacterial SSU rRNA". It matches the Rfam family "Bacterial small subunit ribosomal RNA", at positions 232 to 873 of the family's 1533-position model. Lineage: Bacteria; Bacillati; Actinomycetota; Actinomycetes. The record is from RNAcentral.
CGCGGCCUAUCAGCUUGUUGGUGAGGUAAUGGCUCACCAAGGCGUCGACGGGUAGCCGGCCUGAGAGGGUGACCGGCCACACUGGGACUGAGACACGGCCCAGACUCCUACGGGAGGCAGCAGUGGGGAAUAUUGCACAAUGGGCGCAAGCCUGAUGCAGCAACGCCGCGUGAGGGAUGACGGCCUUCGGGUUGUAAACCUCUUUCAGCAGGGAAGAAGCGAAAGUGACGGUACCUGCAGAAGAAGCGCCGGCUAACUACGUGCCAGCAGCCGCGGUAAUACGUAGGGCGCAAGCGUUGUCCGGAAUUAUUGGGCGUAAAGAGCUCGUAGGCGGCUUGUCACGUCGGUUGUGAAAGCCCGGGGCUUAACCCCGGGUCUGCAGUCGAUACGGGCAGGCUAGAGUUCGGUAGGGGAGAUCGGAAUUCCUGGUGUAGCGGUGAAAUGCGCAGAUAUCAGGAGGAACACCGGUGGCGAAGGCGGAUCUCUGGGCCGAUACUGACGCUGAGGAGCGAAAGCGUGGGGAGCGAACAGGAUUAGAUACCCUGGUAGUCCACGCCGUAAACGGUGGGCACUAGGUGUGGGCAACAUUCCACGUUGUCCGUGCCGCAGCUAACGCAUUAAGUGCCCCGCC